This is a non-coding RNA of Armillaria borealis, 93 nucleotides long. Lineage: Eukaryota; Fungi; Basidiomycota; Agaricomycetes; Agaricales; Physalacriaceae. The record is from the annotation of a GenBank genome assembly.
UCUCUGGUAGUAUAUCGGUUAGUACACGCGCCUGUCAUGAGGAAAUGGUCGCUCUGAACGCGCGCAAGCUGGGUUCGACUCCCAGCCAGAGAG